Molecule: ribosomal RNA, 468 nt
Filed under: uncultured bacterium
Lineage: Bacteria
Description: partial 16S ribosomal RNA
Rfam family: Bacterial small subunit ribosomal RNA
Source: RNAcentral
GACGAACGCUGGCGGCGUGCUUAACACAUGCAAGUCGAACGGAAAGGCCCUGCUUUUGUGGGGUGCUCGAGUGGCGAACGGGUGAGUAACACGUGAGUAACCUGCCCUUGUCUUUGGGAUAACUUCAGGAAACUGGGGCUAAUACCGGAUAGGAGCUCCUGCUGCAUGGUGGGGGUUGGAAAGUUUCGGCGGUUGGGGAUGGACUCGCGGCUUAUCGGCUUGUUGGUGGGGUAGUGGCUUACCAAGGCUUUGACGGGUAGCCGGCCUGGGAGGGUGGCCGGCGACAUGGGGACUGAGAUAGGGCGCAGACUCGAACGGGAGGCAGCAGGGGGGAAUAUUGCACAAUGGGCGGAAGCCUGAGGCAGAAACGCCGCGUGCGGGAUGACGGCCUGCGGGUUGUAAACCGCUGUCGCCUGUGACGAAGCGGGAGUGACGGUAAUGGGUAAAGAAGCACCGGCUAACUACGUG